Molecule: ribosomal RNA, 879 nt
Filed under: Triticum aestivum (bread wheat)
Lineage: Eukaryota; Viridiplantae; Streptophyta; Magnoliopsida; Poales; Poaceae
Description: partial small subunit ribosomal RNA
Source: RNAcentral
AUGUCCUCUUCGGGAUAUGUCGUGGUUCCUCGGUGCUCGGUGAUCUUUGAUGGCACCAAUUAUGCUGAGUUUGUGGGCUUCAUGCGCAUCCAUAUGUGUGAACUCCUUUUGUGCGGGGUUCUCUCUGGCGAGGUCCCCUGUCCGCCAUGUCCGGUGGCACCCGUGGCCCCAAUCCCACCCGUGCCGCCGGUCCUUGCUGCUGAUGCCUCUCAGGCUGACCGAGAUGCUGCCAAGGCUCUGGAUGAUGUUGCGGUUGAUGCUUAUGAUCAGCAGGUAUCCACUUAUUUCGAUGCUCUCUCUGUGUACCGGGAUGAUCUGUCUACUUACACUCAGUGGUGCAAUGAUGAUGCUCGAGCUGCUGUUGUUCUCACUGCGAGUGUUCUUCCUCAGUUUGCUUCGGAGUUCAUGGGACUUGGCACUGUUGCAGCGAUGUGGUCUUACCUCUAUCAGCGCUAUCAGCCCUCUGGUGAUGCUCUCUACCUAUCUGUCGUGCGUCAGGAGCAUGCACUCCAGCAAGGUGAUUCCUCUGUUGAUGAGUUCUAUUCACAGUGCUCUGCCAUCUGGCGUCAGCUUGACUCCCUUUGGACAGUUGUUUGUGGCACCUGUCGUUGCUGUCAGACUACUCGGUCUGAUCUGGAGUUUCAGCGGGUCCAUGAGUUCUUGUCACGUCUCCGCUCUGAGUUUGAACCGCGACGUGCUCACUUGCUUGCUCGUGGCCAUGUUCCUAUCUCGGAGGUGCUUGCUGAGCUUCGUGCUGAAGAGACCCGCCUUCGCUCUGCUGGAUUGCUGGUGGUCCUGUCUGUGUUGGCUGCUCGUGCUCCUGUGUCAUCUGCUCGGCUCACCGCUCCACCGCUCCUCCCCACACCUUCAGGGGGGUGA